CCUACGGGCGGCUGCAGUGGGGAAUAUUGCACAAUGGGCGCAAGCCUGAUGCAGCCAUGCCGCGUGUGUGAAGAAGGCCUUCGGGUUGUAAAGCACUUUCAGCGGGGAGGAAGGCGGUGAGGUUAAUAACCUCAUCGAUUGACGUUACCCGCAGAAGAAGCACCGGCUAACUCCGUGCCAGCAGCCGCGGUAAUACGGAGGGUGCAAGCGUUAAUCGGAAUUACUGGGCGUAAAGCGCACGCAGGUGGUCUGUCAAGUCGGAUGUGAAAUCCCCGGGCUCAACCUGGGAACUGCAUUCGAAACUGGCAGGCUAGAGUCUUGUAGAGGGGGGUAGAAUUCCAGGUGUAGCGGUGAAAUGCGUAGAGAUCUGGAGGAAUACCGGUGGCGAAGGCGGCCCCCUGGACAAGGACUGACGCUCAGGUGCGAAAGCGUGGGGAGCAAACAGGAUUAGAUACCCCAGUAGUC
This 465-nucleotide ribosomal RNA is filed under the name uncultured Klebsiella sp. RNAcentral's name for it is "bacterial SSU rRNA". It matches the Rfam family "Bacterial small subunit ribosomal RNA", at positions 338 to 795 of the family's 1533-position model. Lineage: Bacteria; Pseudomonadati; Pseudomonadota; Gammaproteobacteria; Enterobacterales; Enterobacteriaceae. The record is from RNAcentral.